AAUGAUUGUGUAAGAAAAAGUGGUGAAAAUAACGGGAUCACAUGGUCCCUAUUUAUAGAAAACCUGAUAGACACAUGGUGCCCUCGUGAGUGUAAGAUCUUGCACCAUCCAAUGUCAUAAGAUACAUGACACUAUGUAUUUGAUGUUAGCACUAACAAUGUGAUCCGCGAGAUGUUGACAUAAUUCACAAGGCUUUACUCAAUCUUAAGACUUGGGGAGACUAUAUAUUGUAUGUACCAACCAAUACAUACCUAUUACAAUAAAC
This 265-nucleotide long non-coding RNA is filed under the name Vigna radiata. RNAcentral describes it as "long non-coding RNA (VRAD_LNC005837)". The record is from RNAcentral. Lineage: Eukaryota; Viridiplantae; Streptophyta; Magnoliopsida; Fabales; Fabaceae.